Non-coding RNA from Brachypodium distachyon (stiff brome), 79 nucleotides. The record is from Rfam. Lineage: Eukaryota; Viridiplantae; Streptophyta; Magnoliopsida; Poales; Poaceae.
AGUUGAUGUGAUGAUAAGAUUUCACAGAAAAUCAAUUAGUGAUGACCAAAAAUUACAGACUACAAUUAUCUGAUCAACU